This 2729-nucleotide long non-coding RNA is filed under the name Mus musculus (house mouse). Its description in RNAcentral is "long non-coding RNA chr6:141502301-141505030". Lineage: Eukaryota; Metazoa; Chordata; Mammalia; Rodentia; Muridae. The record is from RNAcentral.
UGCAGACUCUUUGGUAGCUGUAGAUAUUUGCAAUUUCCCUGUGUCCUCUGGCCUUUCUUUCCCAGAGAACUUUCUUGAAGGUAAAAGCUGUGCAAAAGGCAUGAGACUCAGGCCUACUCUUUGUUUGUUAAAUGAUGGAAAAGUAUAAAUUAUUUUCUAAGUAAUAAAAAUAUGAAAAUUAUCAUUGUAAAUAAAGUCUAAAGCUUGAAAUGACUUCUUUAUAGAAGUGGAGUGUUUGUGUGGUGAACAACUCCUGGCCAAUAGGAAAAGAAGAAUCUGGAAUUUCUGUCUGUUCUGCUUGAGGACACACUCUUGGUGCCUCCUUGAGGCGGGCACCUCCAUUGAUCUUCCUUAGGGUCUUGGAAGCAUAAAGAGAGGCUUCUUAGCCUUCUCUCUAAUCCUGAAUCUCAUUGGAUGCCUCCCUUGGUUUUUGUGUCAUUAGCAAUUUAAUUGCCUUUACAAUUGUCUGAAGGCUACUGCAACAGAGUUCUAUGGCCUUCCACAGACUAAAUCAAUAUUCUACUCUUUAGGUGUGUCCCAGAUAACUAAAUGACACAAUAACCAUGUGCUUUGAAACUGAAGUCAUUUUCUUGCAUCAUCUUGCCCCCUGAACAAUGAAAUAUUACACGAUCCUUGUUCUAGGUCACUCAUUUCUUCAUGAAUUUGUAAAGGGAAAUUAUGAAUUUUCUGAUAGCAACAUGUUUAAAAAUCUAUCCAAACAUAUUAAAACUGAAGAUCGAUAAAACAGUUCACCAUUUCAAGUAGAAGAGACUUCAGAAUUAAAUUCAUCUUAGAAUGUCUAAUUAAGCUGAAAUCCAUCAAUUUGGGGUCCUGGACCCCAAAUUUAUGUCAUGUUAAUUCAUCCUCCAGUAAAUGCCCCAGUAUUCAUUGAAAAAUAAAUUAGAAGUGGAUUAAGUUGUUAGCCCUGACUAAACUAAACCAUACACUUCAGUCUAGAUGGUUUAUUGUGCUUUUGGUGAGUAUUUUUAUGCCUCCAAUGAGGGAACCAUAAUUAGAGAAUAAAAACAUACUAGUAGUAUACAUUAUACAAGGUGGAUAUCAAUAAACUAUGUUGCUACCUUAUGCUUUGCAUGGGCUAAAAUGUUCUUAUUUCCUAUACUACCUAAUACUGCUUUUUGCCUUACCUAGUAAUUGGCUUUAUGAUCAUCUAGUAAAUUAACCCUAACAACUGAUUUGAUGUUGUGACUAAGAUAUUUGACCUUCUCUGUGUGGAUACUUUAAAUAUGUCUGCAGAUGCAAAAAUGUAGUUGGUGGGACCUAAUCUGCUACUUCAAAGCAUAAUGUUGAUCCUUGAGUUUUUAACCUAGGAAAGACCAUAAGUACAUAGACUGUGUGUUUUUGUGCUGGGCUGAAGACUCUAAACUUAUCUCACAUUUCUUAGCAUCAUGUUCUGGCAUCUUAGGUGUAUGCCUCCCCCUCAAACUGGUGUGGAACACAGAGGGAAAAGCACCCUUCCUCUAAUAGAUAAAUGUUCACUGGGGCCGUGUGUAACCCAGACUCGUUGGUUUGCAUUAAGAAGCGGCUCUUUAAUCAUCAAAGCUAACAAGAAGUAAUGUUAAGUCUUGUGUGUUGUUACUGACAGAAGUAUUUCAAUUUGAUUUAAAUUCUUGAAUCACCCACCAUUCUCUUGCAUUUUGGGGGAUAGGGAUUAAAAUUAACCCCAAAAAGCACUGCUUCUUGGUAUCACAAUUACCAUAGUCUGGUAGGAUUUAAUGUUUUUCUAGUGCUCUUGAGGGGAAAAUGAUUUUUUUUUUUUUGGUUUUUCGAGACAGGGUCUCUCUGUAUAGUCCUGGCUGUCCUGGAACUCAUUUUGUAGACCAAGUUGGCCUCGAACUCAGAAAUCCACCUGCCUCUGCCUCCCGAGUGCUGGGAUUAAAGGUGUGCACCACCACCCCCCGGUGGAAAAUGAUUUAUAAGGGAAUCAGUAAGUGUACAUUUAAUAAAGUACAUGAAGAAUUUAAGUGUCCUCAGGGCAGCUCACGUAGCCUGUAACACCAGUUCCAGGGGAUCUGACACCAUCUUCUGACCUCCUUGGACACUGCAUAUGUGUGGUACACAGACAUCUCUUCAGGCAAAACACCCAUCUGCAUAAAAUAAAUUUGUACAAAAAAAUACCAAAGAAUGCAAGUGCCCAAAUUGCAAUCUAAGUUCCUCCGAGUUACCCCAGUGCACAGGGAGGCACCAUCCAGAGAUUUAUCACAAUACAUUCAAAGAUGAUACAUUGUCUAUAGCUCAGUUCCUGUGAGUUACCCUAAUCACCAGCAGGAGUUCUUCAGUUGCUUAUCAUACAUUUUAAGUGAUGCAUUGCCUACAGCUUAGUUCCUUUGAGCUACCCCAACGCACAGGGUGAUAUCAGCUAGUAGAUUACCAUCAGACAUUUAAAAAUGAUAUUUGAUCUAUUACCAUAGAUUUUUAUUUUCUGAAUUCUAAUAGAGUUAAAAACUCAAAUUCUUCCACACUAAGAAAAUGAAACAUCAUUAAUUUUGGCUUUCACAAAUAAAGGAUUGACCUUGGGUAAACCACCCCACUGUGUUCAUCUGUCAUAACAGUAGGGUAGACUAUGAAAUUCCUAUAUAGAAAAGCAACAAAAAAACUGUGUAAAGCCUUGAUACUUUAAAUUUCCAGUUAUAUCGGACAUGGUUCUUUCAACUGAAAGAAACUAUUGCAGGAAAUUCUCAAUUCUUAUGAAUAGAAAAACAAAAACAAAC